GUCGCAAAAACCCCUACCAUGUGAGAAGAAGAGAAAAAAUCAACGUUAUAUAUAUAACUUGUUCAACUUUGAAAAAAAAUAACAUGUACAAAAUGUGUUAUCUAAUCUAUCAAUUUAAUGUUUUAUUUUUUAUAUACUUACAAAUGUUGUCAUUUAAGUUUUGGACUUAUUCACGUUUAAUUAGAAAUAAAUCUUCUAUUAUUAUAAAGAGUUUUUCUCUACUCUAGUGUUGCCACGUCAGCAAAUAAGAUAAGGAGAGAGUGACACGUGUCAACUCAGUUCCGUUGCUUUCGUUUCGUUUGGUUGUAGUGGGCCUAACGAGAUUGUUCUUUGUUUUAUUUUUUGGUUGGUAUGUUUAUGAGCUUCAAUAUUUGGGCUUACAAAAUCAACACACAAAAGUCGCAACGUUUCCACGAUAUCCUUCUUCGAUGAUGGGUUCUUCAUAUCCUGGAAUAGAACAAACUACAAUGGAGGUUCUGGAAUCUCUGUGUCGAUCUCCCUUCCCGUCGUUUCUUCUUCUAUACAUCUCCCCAUUCGUUUCGUAAUCAAGUGUUCCAUUGCCAUUAAAAGCCUUCUUAACUCCUUGGACCCACGCAAACCAUGGUUCCUCACUCAGUGCUCCUUAAAGGCGGUGGAAGUCCACCUAUAAAAAGGCGACACUCAUAUUCAGGCCUGCUCAUGCUAGCCACCGUCAAAGUCCACUGUCUCACCAGCUAUGUGAUUCGGUUCAAUGAUUCAACCACUUUGGAUGAGAUAACCGAGUCACCUAAUCAAGUUGAGUGCACUCCGCCAUAUCAGUUAGAUGUAAAGGCUUAAUCUUCGACCAUAUCGUGUUCAUCGUGAACGUUCAUUUUCGCCAAUGCAACCCAAGUAAAAUGGUCUGUGCAAGUGCGUUUAUUCCAGCAAUAUUCAUAUGGUUCUAGACCCCAGCGUUCGAGCAAAACAGCAAAUGAUUUCGUUCUAAGGCAUGAGGGAGAGAGCAAAACAAGAGGCUGGAACCAGAAAAGCAGAGGAAAAGAAGGACAAGCAUGUGUUUAAUGUGAAGCUGGAGAAGUUACAGCUGCAAAUCACUUGCGGUUUUACCAAAAGUUCUAACGGGUGUUUCGCUGUUUUUUUUUUGGGGCACUUUGGUGAUCAAUGAAUCUCUCAAAAAAAGUUAAUUUAAAAAUGCUCUGAAACACUGGUGGGAAUGCAGGGCUUUACAAAGUUGUUCGGGUUGGUAUGAAAAAAACACUUUUAAAUUAUCGGUUAAAGUAAAAUCAUGUUAACCAUUUUUCUACAUAACAAUCUAACUAGAUAAUUUUUUUCUCCGGCCAUUAAUUUCUAACUCAUAAGAAUCAAUAAUUGAAUGAAUAUAACUAAAAAUAUCAAACAAAGAAAGGCAGAGAAAUUUAUUACUCUUUAGUCAACAAUUCGUUGCCAAAAAAAAGUAUAACAUAAAUACCAAAAAACAACAACAAUUGUUAAUAAUAGCAAUUAUUAUUCACAAAGAGUUCCUCAGAAAUUAAAACUUCAUUCUCUCCUGUAUUAAAUACCCCCACAAAACAAAACAAAAAAAAUAAUGGUAUUAGAAUAUAUGGAGUAACAUUUAUGUGUGG
Molecule: long non-coding RNA, 1598 nt
Organism: Brassica napus (rape)
Lineage: Eukaryota; Viridiplantae; Streptophyta; Magnoliopsida; Brassicales; Brassicaceae
Exons: 3
Source: RefSeq, a predicted model, not a curated record